UACGGAGGGUGCAAGCGUUGUUCGGAAUUAUUGGGCGUAAAGCGCACGUAGGCGGACUACUAAGUCAGGGGUGAAAUCCCGGGGCUCAACCCCGGAACUGCCUUUGAUACUGAUAGUCUCGAGUCCGGAAGAGGUGAGUGGAAUUCCGAGUGUAGAGGUGAAAUUCGUAGAUAUUCGGAGGAACACCAGUGGCGAAGGCGGCUCACUGGUCCGGUACUGACGCUGAGGUGCGAAAGCGUGGGGAGCAAACAGG
Molecule: ribosomal RNA, 253 nt
Filed under: uncultured bacterium
Lineage: Bacteria
Description: partial 16S ribosomal RNA
Rfam family: Bacterial small subunit ribosomal RNA
Source: RNAcentral